GGGGGAGCAAGCGUUGUUCGGAUUUACUGGGCGUAAAGGGCGCGUAGGCGGCCUCUGCAAGUCGACUGUGAAAUCUCCGGGCUUAACCCGGAACGGUCAGCCGAUACUGCAGGGCUAGAGUGCAGAAGGGGCAACUGGAAUUCUCGGUGUAGCGGUGAAAUGCGUAGAUAUCGAGAGGAACACCUGCGGCGAAGGCGGGUUGCUGGGCUGACACUGACGCUGAGGCGCGAAAGCUAGGGGAGCGAACGGGAUUAGAUACCCCGGUAGUCCUAGCCUUAAACGAUGAAUGCUUGGUGUCUGGGGUUUUAUAGUCCCCGGGUGCCGUCGCUAACGCUUUAAGCAUUCCGCCUGGGGAGUACGGUCGCAAGACUG
RNAcentral lists this ribosomal RNA (372 nucleotides) under uncultured organism. RNAcentral describes it as "bacterial SSU rRNA". It matches the Rfam family "Bacterial small subunit ribosomal RNA", at positions 528 to 896 of the family's 1533-position model. The record is from RNAcentral.